UGGUAAUGCCGGAUGUUCCACAUGAGCGCAUGCGAGUGUGGGAAAGGCUUUUUGCGGCAUGGGAUGGGGUCGCGUCCUAUCAGCUUGUUGGUGGGGUAACGGCCUACCAAGGCGUUGACGGGUAGCCGGCCUGAGAGGGCGACCGGCCACAUUGGGACUGAGAUACGGCCCAGACUCCUACGGGAGGCAGCAGUGGGGAAUAUUGCACAAUGGGCGCAAGCCUGAUGCAGCGACGCCGCGUGCGGGAUGGAGGCCUUCGGGUUGUAAACCGCUUUUGUUCAAGGGCAAGGCACGGUCUUUGGCCGUGUUGAGUGGAUUGUUCGAAUAAGCACCGGCUAACUACGUGCCAGCAGCCGCGGUAAUACGUAGGGUGCAAGCGUUAUCCGGAUUUAUUGGGCGUAAAGGGCUCGUAGGCGGUUCGUCGCGUCCGGUGUGAAAGUCCAUCGCUUAACGGUGGAUCCGCGCCGGGUACGGGCGGGCUUGAGUGCGGUAGGGGAGACUGGAAUUCCCGGUGUAACGGUGGAAUGUGUAGAUAUC
This 537-nucleotide ribosomal RNA is filed under the name Bifidobacterium pseudolongum subsp. globosum. RNAcentral's name for it is "bacterial SSU rRNA". It matches the Rfam family "Bacterial small subunit ribosomal RNA", at positions 161 to 698 of the family's 1533-position model. The record is from RNAcentral. Lineage: Bacteria; Bacillati; Actinomycetota; Actinomycetes; Bifidobacteriales; Bifidobacteriaceae. RNAcentral also lists the same sequence under 1 other name.